CCUACGGGAGGCAGCAGUGAGGAAUAUUGGUCAAUGGAUGAGAGUCUGAACCAGCCAAGUAGCGUGAAGGAUGACUGCCCUAUGGGUUGUAAACUUCUUUUAUAUGGGAAUAAAAUGUUCCACGUGUGGGAUUUUGUAUGUACCAUAUGAAUAAGGAUCGGCUAACUCCGUGCCAGCAGCCGCGGUAAUACGGAGGAUCCGAGCGUUAUCCGGAUUUAUUGGGUUUAAAGGGAGCGUAGGUGGAUUGUUAAGUCAGUUGUGAAAGUUUGCGGCUCAACCGUAAAAUUGCAGUUGAAACUGGCAGUCUGGAGUACAGUAGAGGUGGGCGGAAUUCGUGGUGUAGCGGUGAAAUGCUUAGAUAUCACGAAGAACUCCGAUUGCGAAGGCAGCUCACUGGACUGCAACUGACACUGAGGCUCGAAAGUGUGGGUAUCAAACAGGAUUAGAUACCCGAGUAGUC
This 460-nucleotide ribosomal RNA is filed under the name uncultured bacterium. RNAcentral describes it as "partial 16S ribosomal RNA". It matches the Rfam family "Bacterial small subunit ribosomal RNA", at positions 338 to 795 of the family's 1533-position model. The record is from RNAcentral.